AAAUUUUGGUUAAAUAAUUGCACUGUUUCAAAGUGUUGGUUUUCUUUUAUUGUUACAGUAGCAAUGCUAUUAAGUGAUUUUGUUUCAGUUAUGUAAUUUUAUUUCCUAUGUGUAUGUUUUUCACAUUUAAACAUGUUCAGGUAGUUGGUCUCAGGUGCUGCACAUUUUGUCCACCAGAGAGCAGUGUUUCAAAGUGAUUACUGUUUCCCAAAACGGGGCAGGAAAUGCAUUUUGUUCUCUUCCGGUGUUGCUAUGCUACGUGAUGAACUUGGACGGGAACCGUAUGUGAUUUAUCUGCAGGUCAUAGUUUCAGCAGAAAAUCGGGAGCCUGUCUGUGCGGUGCAGGGCGGCCAUUUACUGCACGUGAAAAUAAGAUGUCCGAUCAUCGGUGUUCUCCAGUAUUAAGAGUGAACUGAGACAUUACUGUCGAAUGUAAGUGUUGAUAAAAUAAGUCAUAUCACAA
This is a long non-coding RNA of Poecilia latipinna (sailfin molly), 463 nucleotides long. RefSeq lists it as uncharacterized. The transcript is spliced from 2 exons. Lineage: Eukaryota; Metazoa; Chordata; Actinopteri; Cyprinodontiformes; Poeciliidae. The record is from RefSeq and is a predicted model, not a curated record.